CAGGCUGGUGUUUUCAUAGGAUACUAGAAACCCAGCAAGUUUCUGUUUCAGGGUCUCCCAGUGAGCUGGUUCAUUCAUUCAUUCAAAACCAUUUAUGGCCUCUCUCUCCCAGGCCGAGUACUAUGCCACGCACAGAAGACAUCAAGGUGAAUGGGACCCAGUCUGUGACCUCAGAAAACUUUCAGAUUAAUGCAUGAGACAGAUCUACAAAUAAUAAAUGCAUCGCAAUGCAUCUCUAUGUAUUGAACUGUAAGAACUGGCUCUCUGUUGCAGGGGUUCUCAAGCAUGGGAGGAAAGGAAUGAGUAAAUGAAGCAAGAUGGAAAAUUACCCGGAUGCUGCUCCAGUGAUUAAGCCCAAAUGCUACAGUCCACUUCUCUCCCUCCUGGGGGCUCUGAGGCAAUGAACGGGUACGAGAGACUCCUCUCAGGACCAGUGAAUUGUAAUGAAAGUCACCCUCCACAGGACACAGCAUGAUGAGAAAGAAAGACGUACUAGAUGAUCUAAAGUCCUGUCAGCCAUAAGACCCUCUCAUCGACCUUGUCCCUAAGAGCGGCUGCCAAGCACCUCCUUGCACAGGGUUGUGACAAUGUCCUCUUGGAACAGCGGGGCAGAGGGUGAUUGCUUCCUCAUACACAGGGAUGUGACUCUGUACUUCUGGGUCCCCAACAAAGACUAGAAGAAUUACAAGAAACACCUGUUUCUCUUCACCAGGUGAUAGCUAUCUCAAAGGAAAUAUGCUCCCCUGUUCUACCCACCGGAAGCAAGUUGAGGGAGGCCAGCACACACGCUAUGUGAGGAGGUGGAUGUUAGCCGAAGCUCUCGUGGUCAUCACUUCACAACAUAUAGAGUGCCACCUGUUUUCUGCCAGGACCUUGACGGAGACCCCUACUGCCUCACUGCCUUGCUGGUAGAGCACCUACAAAGUGCCAGGAGGUUCUAGGGAUACAAUGCUGCAGAGCACAGCAGAGAAUCCGGAUGUUGAAGGGCGUGCUCGAAGAGUGAGAGGCCACUCCCAGGGCUCACAGGCAGCCACACAGUACAGAUGGUACGGCAGGGAGUGAGCUCCUAGAAACCAAGUAACAUGAGGCCCAGCACACGAACUCAACACUUCCACACCAAAAUCACAGCAUCGCUGAAACCAGCACCUCCUCCUUCUGUGCCCACAGUCUCAGCUGAGGACACCCCAGAACUUUUUUGUUUGCCCCCCUCUCCCCCUCUCAGCUCUCAUUCUGAGGAAUCACUGUGUGUUCCCAAUUCUGCCUCUUCAGUCCCUCUCGAAUCAUGCCCUCCUCUCCUUCACCACUAGCUCCUGCCCUGAUUCAGGUCCUUAUCAUCUUUGCCAAGAACUUUGCAUCUACUCCCUCCUUGACCGGUCGCUACCCUAUCAAAUCCACCCUCUGCAGCAAGGCCACCAUAAGCCUAGCCACCUCGCUCCCCUGGUGGCGGCCUCCAGGAUUCCUUAUUCCUGGCAGGAAACGGUCCAGGUGUGGCACAGAAGGCUCCCUAUGACGGGGCCCUUCCUCCCUAGCAGCCUGCCUCCCACUGCUUCCUGCUUCACCCUUGAUCUUCCGACAAGGCCGCCACUUUCAUUUCCACGUACACGUCAAGUUGUCUGUCCCCUCUGUGCCAUUUUUCAAGUUGUCCCACCCCCCCCACCAUCCCUUCCCCCACAACCUAAUUAAAUCCAACUCAUCCCUAAAAUAUUAACUCAUGGGGCGCCUGAGUGGCUCAGUCGUUAAGCGUCUGCCUUCGGCUCAGGUCAUGAUCCCAGGAUCCU
Molecule: non-coding RNA, 1778 nt
Organism: Callorhinus ursinus (northern fur seal)
Lineage: Eukaryota; Metazoa; Chordata; Mammalia; Carnivora; Otariidae
Source: RefSeq, a predicted model, not a curated record